This 253-nucleotide ribosomal RNA is filed under the name uncultured bacterium. RNAcentral's name for it is "partial 16S ribosomal RNA". It matches the Rfam family "Bacterial small subunit ribosomal RNA", at positions 524 to 776 of the family's 1533-position model. The record is from RNAcentral.
GACAGAGGAUGCAAGCGUUAUCCGGAAUGAUUGGGCGUAAAGCGUCUGUAGGUGGCUUUUCAAGUCCGCCGUCAAAUCCCAGGGCUCAACCCUGGACAGGCGGUGGAAACUACCAAGCUGGAGUUCGGUAGGGGAGACUGGAAUUCCUGGUGUAGCGGUGAAAUGCGCAGAUAUCAGGAGGAACACCGGUGGCGAAGGCGGGUCUCUGGGCCGAUACUGACGCUGAGGAGCGAAAGCGUGGGGAGCGAACAGG